RNAcentral lists this ribosomal RNA (588 nucleotides) under Triticum aestivum (bread wheat). RNAcentral's name for it is "partial small subunit ribosomal RNA". The record is from RNAcentral. Lineage: Eukaryota; Viridiplantae; Streptophyta; Magnoliopsida; Poales; Poaceae.
AUGUAUGGGAGCGGUUGGAGGAAGUUCUAUGAUGACAACAUGCUGGGGAAGGGUCAAAUGGUGGUGUUCUUCCUGGAUGAACCUUCGCCUAGGGCAGCUAUUUGUGUGAUCCAAGUGGGCAACGGCUCUGAAGAUGAACAACCUAUGGAAGAGGGUGAUCCCAUUGAAGAUUCAGAUUCAGAUGAUGAGGAUGGAGAAGCUUCAAGCGAUGAUGGUGAAGGCAUUGUUCGCACCAGGGGGCUUUUGCUUACUGAGACAGAGGGUUUUCAGCUACAAGGGCUGCUGCCUCUCAGUGAUGAUUUCAUCGGGUUUCCUUUCGUUCACCGCCUCACAAAGACAGACAAUUGUUUGGGCAUGAUGUGUCUGAUGGAUGCCCGCAUGCAGAUUGAACGCGAGAUAGAAACUAAAACCAAGUCCUCCUUGAAAGAAGGGUUAGGUCAACAGCUUAAAACUGAUCAUAUGGAGGAGUCCAAAGACUUAACAAGAGAUUGCCUAAACAAAGUGCCGCACACAGGUAUAGCUUUUGAAGUUGAAGGAGGGAAACCUGGGAGUGAUAGAAAUGAAGAAGGCGGAGAUAAGUUGUGUUAA